This 534-nucleotide ribosomal RNA is filed under the name Scheffersomyces sp. BG090908.5.1.1.2.13. Its description in RNAcentral is "eukaryotic LSU rRNA". It matches the Rfam family "Eukaryotic large subunit ribosomal RNA", at positions 23 to 564 of the family's 3401-position model. Lineage: Eukaryota; Fungi; Ascomycota; Pichiomycetes; Serinales; Debaryomycetaceae. RNAcentral also lists the same sequence under 3 other names. The record is from RNAcentral.
ACCCGCUGAACUUAAGCAUAUCAAUAAGCGGAGGAAAAGAAACCAACAGGGAUUGUCUUAGUAACGGCGAGUGAAGCGACAAAAGCUCAAAUUUGAAAUCUGGCACCUUCGGUGUCCGAGUUGUAAUUUGAAGAAGGUAACUUUGGAGUUGGCUCUUGUCUAUGUUCCUUGGAACAGGACGUCACAGAGGGUGAGAAUCCCGUGCGAUGAGAUGUCCAACUCUAUGUAAAGUGCUUUCGAAGAGUCGAGUUGUUUGGGAAUGCAGCUCUAAGUGGGUGGUAAAUUCCAUCUAAAGCUAAAUAUUGGCGAGAGACCGAUAGCGAACAAGUACAGUGAUGGAAAGAUGAAAAGAACUUUGAAAAGAGAGUGAAAAAGUACGUGAAAUUGUUGAAAGGGAAGGGUUUGAGAUCAGACUUGGUAUUUUGUAUGUCUUGCUUUCGGGUGGGGCCUCUGCAGUUUACUGGGCCAGCAUCGGUUUGGACGGUAGGAUAAUGACAUUGGAAUGUGGCACUACUUCGGUGGUGUGUUAUAGAC